AGCGAACGUAGUUCAGUGGUAGAACACCACCUUGCCAAGGUGGGGGUCGCGGGUUCGAAUCCCGUCGUUCGCUU
This 74-nucleotide transfer RNA is filed under the name Streptococcus pluranimalium. RNAcentral describes it as "tRNA-Gly". It matches the Rfam family "tRNA". From Rfam's summary of the family: Transfer RNA (tRNA) molecules are approximately 80 nucleotides in length. Lineage: Bacteria; Bacillati; Bacillota; Bacilli; Lactobacillales; Streptococcaceae. The record is from RNAcentral. RNAcentral also lists the same sequence under 2 other names.